RNAcentral lists this ribosomal RNA (253 nucleotides) under uncultured bacterium. RNAcentral describes it as "partial 16S ribosomal RNA". It matches the Rfam family "Bacterial small subunit ribosomal RNA", at positions 524 to 776 of the family's 1533-position model. The record is from RNAcentral.
UACGGGGGGGGCAAGCGUUGUUCGGAAUUACUGGGCGUAAAGGGCUCGUAGGUGGCCAACUAAGUCAGACGUGAAAUCCCUCGGCUUAACCGGGGAACUGCGUCUGAUACUGGAUGGCUUGAGUUCGGGAGAGGGAUGCGGAAUUCCAGGUGUAGCGGUGAAAUGCGUAGAUAUCUGGAGGAACACCGGUGGCGAAGGCGGCAUCCUGGGCCGACACUGACACUGAGGAGCGAAAGCCAGGGGAGCAAACGGG